Molecule: transfer RNA, 63 nt
Filed under: Pleurocryptella fimbriata
Lineage: Eukaryota; Metazoa; Arthropoda; Malacostraca; Isopoda; Bopyridae
Description: tRNA-Lys
Source: RNAcentral
UAUCAAGUGGCCGAAAUAAUAGGCGCAGGUCUUUUAAACCUUAAAUGAAUUUUUCCUUGGUAA